RNAcentral lists this ribosomal RNA (253 nucleotides) under uncultured bacterium. RNAcentral's name for it is "partial 16S ribosomal RNA". It matches the Rfam family "Bacterial small subunit ribosomal RNA", at positions 524 to 776 of the family's 1533-position model. The record is from RNAcentral.
UACGGAGGAUCCGAGCGUUAUCCGGAUUUAUUGGGUUUAAAGGGUGCUCAGGCGGGGGAUUAAGUCGGCGGUGAAAGGCAGCGGCUAAACCGUUGGAAUGCCGUUGAGACUGGGCGCCUUGGAUUCGGUCGGGGCCGGCGGAAUGCGUGGUGUAGCGGUGAAAUGCUUAGAUAUUAUACAGAACGCCGAUAGCGAAGGCAGCUUACUAAACCAUAACUGACGCUCAAGCACGAAGGCGUGGGGAGCAAACAGG